This 256-nucleotide long non-coding RNA is filed under the name Brassica napus (rape). RNAcentral describes it as "long non-coding RNA (BNAP_LNC018830)". The record is from RNAcentral. Lineage: Eukaryota; Viridiplantae; Streptophyta; Magnoliopsida; Brassicales; Brassicaceae.
UGUGGUUGGACACAAGAAGCUCUGGAUCACGGCCUAAUAGGUGCAGCAUCUCUUCACAGCUUUGCGCACACUUCACACUUCAGCUUCACCUCUUCAUGGAACCGGUUUGAAGUCUCCCCCUCUCAACUGACUUCGAAGCCAUCUUAGAGAAGCUAGGACACGACUAGAUCAUCUUCAAAAACACCAGUGAGGCUGAUCAACACUUCACACACGGCCUGCCCUCUUCAUCAACCAGGUUUGGAAUCUCCCCCUCUCA